UACCUGGCGGCAUGCCUUACCAUGCAAGUCGAACGGUAGAAGGAGCAAUCCUUCGAGAGUGGCGAACGGGUGAGUAAUAUAUCGGAACGUGCCCAGUCGUGGGGGAUAACGUAGAGAAAUUUACGCUAAUACCGCAUACGAUCUAAGGAUGAAAGCGGGGGACUUCGCAAGAGGCCUCGCGCGACUGGAGCGGCUGAUAUCAGAUUAGGUUGUUGGUGAGGUAAAAGCUCACCAAGCCGACGAUCUGUAGCUGGUUUGAGAGAACGACCAGCCACACUGGGACUGAGACACGGCCCAGACUCCUACGGGAGGCAGCAGUGGGGAAUUUUGGACAAUGGGCGAAAGCCUGAUCCAGCAAUGCCGCGUGCAGGAAGAAGGCCUUCGGGUUGUAAACUGCUUUUGUACGGAACGAAAAGGUUCGCUUUAAUACAGUGGGCCCAUGACGGUACCGUAAGAAUAAGCACCGGCUAACUACGUGCCAGCAGCCGCGGUAAU
Molecule: ribosomal RNA, 495 nt
Filed under: uncultured bacterium
Lineage: Bacteria
Description: bacterial SSU rRNA
Rfam family: Bacterial small subunit ribosomal RNA
Source: RNAcentral